Molecule: RNA transcript, 3362 nt
Organism: Mus caroli (Ryukyu mouse)
Lineage: Eukaryota; Metazoa; Chordata; Mammalia; Rodentia; Muridae
Gene name: triosephosphate isomerase pseudogene
Source: RefSeq, a predicted model, not a curated record
AAGAAACCACAGAGGACAGAGAAGUCAUUUCUCGGCUAUUUCAUUUACUUCACACAAACGAGUAUAACAAAACCCAAAGCAACUAGUCAACCAACAACCACGAAAAGUAAAGAAGAAAACCAAGAAGCCAAAGCACUACAGCAGACAUGCAGAAUCUCAAAAGAAAUCCACGCUUGCUUUUACAGUGGAGAGAUCUUUGGCUAUUGGCAAAGGUGGUCAUUGCAGGCUUUGGCAUGUUGGGGAAACCCUGGGAGAGCUUUGGCUGACAAGGUCUGCUCUUACCUUGGCAACAUAAUCAUUGUUUGCUUCAUGAAGAGACUGCGCAAAGACUAGCAUAAAAGAGCACCGUUCCUGGGAUCUAAGAUUGUCUACCUACAAAGAACUGCAAGGAUCUUUGUUUAUUUUUUUGCUUUUAAAGUCAACUUAGGGGCCGUAAAAAUCGCUGUGUUUAGAAGCACUUGCUGCUCCUGUAGAGGACCCCUGUUUAGUUCCCAGCACCUACAACACGGAGCUCAUGACUACCUGUAUCCCUAGCUCCAGGGAAUUGACCACCCUCUUCUGGCUUCUGAUGGCACAGCACUCAUGUUCAUGUACACACUCACAGAUACAUAAUUAAAAUGAAAAUAAAAUCUUAAAAAUAGGGACUGACUGACCUUCAGAGACUUGAGCCUGGUACAAUGGCGCCUUCCAGGAAGUUCUUCAUUGGGGGCAACUGGAAGAUGAACAGGAGGAAGAAGUGCCUGGGAGAACUCAUCUGCACCCUGAAUGUACCCAACGUGCCGGCAGGCACUGAGGUGGUUUGUACACCGCCCACCGCUUACAUCGACUUUGCCAGAAAGAAGCUGGAUCCCAAAAUUGCUGUGGCCCGCACAGAACUGCUACAAAGUGACCAAUGGGGCCUUCACUGGGGAAAGGACCCCUGGCAUGAUCAAAGACUUAGGAGCCACCUGGGUCGUGCUGGGACACUCGGAAAGAAGACAUGUCUUUGGGGAAUUAGACAUGUCUUUGGGGAAUCAGAUUGGCCAGAAAGUGAACCACGCCCUGGCAGAGGAACUCGGGGGUGAUCGCCUGCAUCGGGGAGAAGCUGGACGAAAGGGAAGCUGGCAUCACCGAGAAGGUCGUGUUCGAGCAAACCAAGGUCAUCGCAGAUAAUGUGAAAGACUGGAGCAAGGUGGUCCUGGCCUAUGAACUUGUGUGGGCCAUUGAGACUGGCAAGACUGCAACCCCUCAACAGGCCCCAGAAAUACAGGAGAAGCUCCGGGGAUGGCUGGAAUCCAAUGUCAAUGAUGGGGUGGCUCAGAGCACCUGGAUCAUUUAUGGAGGUUCUGUGACUGGAGCAACCCGCAAAGAGCUGGCAAGCCAGCCUGACAUGGACGGCUUCCUCGUGGGUGGCACAUCUCUCAAGCCUGAAUUUGUGGACAUCAUCAAUGCCAAACAAUGAGCAUUGCCCAUCCCUCUACCUGCCUGCAUAGAUGGACUAGGUUGCCCAGAAGUUUAGUAACUGCUCCCACCAGCCACAUGCUUCUGAUGACAUCAUCUGCCCCAUCUUGUGGCCUAAUCCACACUGUACCUUCCUGAGCCGUUUCCACCUCCCCAUAAUGGUUGGGACCAGGCCAAUCCCUUUACCACUUACAGUGGGUAGACUCAACUGUCACCAAGGUGGCUCCUGGGGAGGGGAGGGAGUAGAACUGACUGUCCCUUUGGGCCCUGACAAGUGAAAUCACCUACCAUUGGUUUGGGCUGGAAACUCAUGGUUGGAGCACAGGAAGUGGGCUUCGUGUCACUUUGGCCUGUCACUUAGAUGGCCUUGGCUCUAGCUUCACUCCCAAGCCCUACUGGAUGUCUGAUGCAGAAAUUCAGAGCCUUCGGGUCUGAAUUUCAGUAUACUUGAAGGCCGAAAUCCUAUAAGGCCUGGGAUAGUCCCCUCCCCCACGGUGCCGAAGCCCCUGUUUUGUGUUUGUGAACCAUCCUACAUGUAAGGGAAACAAACACCUGGGCCUAAAAAAAAAAUCUUAAAAAUAACUUAGGUAUUACCUCAUCGUCAUGAAGUAGCUUCUGAGGAAAAAUCUGUAAGAGUGUAUAGAAGUUGUGAAGGAGAAGAAGAGGAUGAAGAAAGAUACAAAGAAGAAUGUAUUGUAGAAUCUGAUAGAUUGAAAUUGAUAAUUUUUAAAGGGACUGGGGAAUGUCUUAUUUGUUAAGCAUAAAGUCCGGUCAAACAUAGACUCUUGGUUAUAGCUAUCUAAAUGGAGUUACGUGGAAAAAUCUAGAUCAUUCUUAUUUUUCAUUAUCAAAACUAGAAAGCAGACUCCUUGAGUUUAGAAAUAGUGGGUACAUACUGAACAUUACUGUCUGGCCCACGGAUUUGACGGUGAAGAGACUUGUUUCAGCUACUCCAGGAUAUGAAGUUAUUUGAGGCAGGGGCAUGCAUGUGUGUGUGUGUGCAUGCAUGUGUUUAUGUGUGUAUAAGCCUGUGUUUGCCAUGGAGAUUGGAUCACAUGAAUCAUACUUCAGUACAAGUCAGUUAACAUGAGACAAUAUGACAGAAAUCAAUCUUAUACUUUGUUUUUAUUUUUUUUUAACCCCUGUCUUCUAUUUUGUGUCUUUUCAGUUUUAGCCUAGAAACAGGAGUGGAAACCAUGUCAUCAUGUCAUUUAAAGAAAUAUAAUUUUGUUUUGCUUCUUUAGGACUUUAUGAUCUACAGGUUUGGAAGUCCUCUUUGAUAAGUGCUUGAGACUUCUGUAGACUCCUGUUGGUGUUUUAUGUUCUUGUUUGAUACUCUGUUUCCAUCAGUUCCUUUUCUCACUGCUGUGACAAAGUUCUUGACAACAGCAACUUAAGGAGGGAAGGGUAUAUUCCCUCCCACCCCCCACACAGUUUGAAAUUACAGUUAUCACCAUGGCAAAUCUUAGCAGCAGGGAUUUGAGGUGGCUGUGCAUAUUGCAUCUUUAGUCAGAAGUUCAAUAGAGAUAAGUGCUGCUGUUAGAUCACUCUUCUUCAUUUGCCUCAGUCUGGGGUCUUAGCCCAUGAGAUGAUGCUACCUAUUUGGGGUGUAUUUUCCUUCCUUAGUUGAAACUUUCUGGAAACACCCACAGAUAUGUUUCCUUGGUGAUUCUAAAUCCAAUCAGGUUGCCAAGGAGACUGAACUUUAUAUUCACAGUGUAUUCAUACCCUGUAUGUGUGAACAUACAAUUCAUGUUUACUGUGUAUAUAACAUACAAUUCAUAUUUACUGAGUUAAUAAUGACGAAUUCAGUGCGCCAUAAAGGUCAUAGUUUUGUGAGAUGGAAGACUGAGAAUAUGGUGAGAAUAUUUGGCUGGAAUAAAAGUAAAAUGGAGAUGACUUCAAGGAUUAAGGCAGCUAUA